Molecule: non-coding RNA, 78 nt
Organism: Trichonephila clavata
Lineage: Eukaryota; Metazoa; Arthropoda; Arachnida; Araneae; Nephilidae
Source: the annotation of a GenBank genome assembly
GUCUUGGUAGCCUAGUGAUAAUGGUUGCUGACUCGUGGUCGUCAUGUCAUUAGUUCGAGUCUAGUGCCACUAAAGACC